GGGGAUUUAGCUCAGUGGUAGAGCACUUGCCUAGCAAGCGCAAGGCCCUGGGUUCGGUCCUCAGCUCUGGAAAAAAAAAAAGGUCCUGAGUUCAAAUCCCAGCAACCACA
This 110-nucleotide transfer RNA is filed under the name Mus musculus (house mouse). It matches the Rfam family "tRNA". Rfam says of the family: Transfer RNA (tRNA) molecules are approximately 80 nucleotides in length. Their secondary structure includes four short double-helical elements and three loops (D, anti-codon, and T loops). Further hydrogen bonds mediate the characteristic L-shaped molecular structure. tRNAs have two regions of fundamental functional importance: the anti-codon, which is responsible for specific mRNA codon recognition, and the 3' end, to which the tRNAs corresponding amino acid is attached (by aminoacyl-tRNA synthetases). tRNAs cope with the degeneracy of the genetic code in two manners: having more than one tRNA (with a specific anti-codon) for a particular amino acid; and 'wobble' base-pairing, i.e. permitting non-standard base-pairing at the 3rd anti-codon position. Lineage: Eukaryota; Metazoa; Chordata; Mammalia; Rodentia; Muridae. The record is from Rfam by way of RNAcentral.